UAUGAUCACCGAAGUUAAGCAACGUCGAGCCUAGUUAGCACCUUGAUGAGAGACCGCUUGGGAAUACCAGGUGUUGUAAG
Non-coding RNA from Acanthosepion pharaonis, 80 nucleotides. The record is from the annotation of a GenBank genome assembly. NCBI's taxonomy places the organism in Eukaryota, Metazoa, Mollusca, Cephalopoda, Sepiida, Sepiidae.